RNAcentral lists this ribosomal RNA (1369 nucleotides) under uncultured bacterium. RNAcentral's name for it is "bacterial SSU rRNA". It matches the Rfam family "Bacterial small subunit ribosomal RNA", at positions 28 to 1381 of the family's 1533-position model. The record is from RNAcentral.
GACGAACGCUGGCGGCGUGCCUAAUACAUGCAAGUAGAACGCUGAAGAGAGGAGCUUGCUCUUCUUGGAUGAGUUGCGAACGGGUGAGUAACGCGUAGGUAACCUGCCUUGUAGCGGGGGAUAACUAUUGGAAACGAUAGCUAAUACCGUAUAACAAUGGAUGACACAUGUCAUUUAUUUGAAAGGGGCAAUUGCUCCACUACAAGAUGGACCUGCGUUGUAUUAGCUAGUAGGUGAGGUAACGGCUCACCUAGGCGACGAUACAUAGCCGACCUGAGAGGGUGAUCGGCCACACUGGGACUGAGACACGGCCCAGACUCCUACGGGAGGCAGCAGUAGGGAAUCUUCGGCAAUGGGGGCAACCCUGACCGAGCAACGCCGCGUGAGUGAAGAAGGUUUUCGGAUCGUAAAGCUCUGUUGUAAGUCAAGAACGAGUGUGAGAGUGGAAAGUUCACACUGUGACGGUAGCUUACCAGAAAGGGACGGCUAACUACGUGCCAGCAGCCGCGGUAAUACGUAGGUCCCGAGCGUUGUCCGGAUUUAUUGGGCGUAAAGCGAGCGCAGGCGGUUUGAUAAGUCUGAAGUUAAAGGCUGUGGCUCAACCAUAGUUCGCUUUGGAAACUGUCAAACUUGAGUGCAGAAGGGGAGAGUGGAAUUCCAUGUGUAGCGGUGAAAUGCGUAGAUAUAUGGAGGAACACCGGUGGCGAAAGCGGCUCUCUGGUCUGUAACUGACGCUGAGGCUCGAAAGCGUGGGGAGCGAACAGGAUUAGAUACCCUGGUAGUCCACGCCGUAAACGAUGAGUGCUAGGUGUUGGAUCCUUUCCGGGAUUCAGUGCCGCAGCUAACGCAUUAAGCACUCCGCCUGGGGAGUACGACCGCAAGGUUGAAACUCAAAGGAAUUGACGGGGGCCCGCACAAGCGGUGGAGCAUGUGGUUUAAUUCGAAGCAACGCGAAGAACCUUACCAGGUCUUGACAUCCCGAUGCUAUUUCUAGAGAUAGAAAGUUACUUCGGUACAUCGGUGACAGGUGGUGCAUGGUUGUCGUCAGCUCGUGUCGUGAGAUGUUGGGUUAAGUCCCGCAACGAGCGCAACCCCUAUUGUUAGUUGCCAUCAUUCAGUUGGGCACUCUAGCGAGACUGCCGGUAAUAAACCGGAGGAAGGUGGGGAUGACGUCAAAUCAUCAUGCCCCUUAUGACCUGGGCUACACACGUGCUACAAUGGUUGGUACAACGAGUUGCGAGUCGGUGACGGCAAGCUAAUCUCUUAAAGCCAAUCUCAGUUCGGAUUGUAGGCUGCAACUCGCCUACAUGAAGUCGGAAUCGCUAGUAAUCGCGGAUCAGCACGCCGCGGUGAAUACGUUCCCGGGCCU